Molecule: ribosomal RNA, 301 nt
Filed under: uncultured bacterium
Lineage: Bacteria
Description: partial 16S ribosomal RNA
Rfam family: Bacterial small subunit ribosomal RNA
Source: RNAcentral
CAGCAGCCACGGUAAUACGUAGGUGGCAAGCGUUGUCCGGAAUUAUUGGGCGUAAAGGGCUCGCAGGCGGUUUCUUAAGUCUGAUGUGAAAGCCCCCGGCUCAACCGGGGAGGGUCAUUGGAAACUGGGAAAUUUGAGUGCAGAAGAGGAGAGUGGAAUUCCACGUGUAGCGGUGAAAUGCGUAGAGAUGUGGAGGAACACCAGUGGCGAAGGCGACUCUCUGGUCUGUAACUGACGCUGAGGAGCGAAAGCGUGGGGAGCGAACAGGAUUAGAUACCCCUGUAGUCCCUGUCUCUUAUAC